ACGUGACUAACCUACCCUGGAGUGGGGGAUAACUGAGGGAAACCUUAGCUAAUACCGCAUAACACCUACGGGUCAAAGGAGCAAUUCGCUUCAGGAGGGGGUCGCGGCAGAUUAGCUAGUUGGCGGGGUAAUGGCCCACCAAGGCAGUGAUCUGUAUCCGGCCUGAGAGGGCGCACGGACACACUGGAACUGAAACACGGUCCAGACUCCUACGGGAGGCAGCAGUGGGGAAUUUUGCGCAAUGGGGGAAACCCUGACGCAGCAACGCCGCGUGGAGGAUGAAGUCCUUCGGGACGUAAA
RNAcentral lists this ribosomal RNA (300 nucleotides) under uncultured Acidobacteriaceae bacterium. RNAcentral describes it as "bacterial SSU rRNA". It matches the Rfam family "Bacterial small subunit ribosomal RNA", at positions 115 to 429 of the family's 1533-position model. The record is from RNAcentral. Lineage: Bacteria; Pseudomonadati; Acidobacteriota; Terriglobia; Terriglobales; Acidobacteriaceae.